This 2425-nucleotide ribosomal RNA is filed under the name Bacillus mycoides. RNAcentral describes it as "bacterial LSU rRNA". It matches the Rfam family "Bacterial large subunit ribosomal RNA", at positions 491 to 2925 of the family's 2925-position model. Lineage: Bacteria; Bacillati; Bacillota; Bacilli; Caryophanales; Bacillaceae. The record is from RNAcentral.
UGAACCAGUACCGUGAGGGAAAGGUGAAAAGCACCCCGGAAGGGGAGUGAAAGAGAUCCUGAAACCGUGUGCCUACAAAUAGUCAGAGCCCGUUAAUGGGUGAUGGCGUGCCUUUUGUAGAAUGAACCGGCGAGUUACGAUCCCGUGCAAGGUUAAGCUGAAGAGGCGGAGCCGCAGCGAAAGCGAGUCUGAAUAGGGCGUUUAGUACGUGGUCGUAGACCCGAAACCAGGUGAUCUACCCAUGUCCAGGGUGAAGUUCAGGUAACACUGAAUGGAGGCCCGAACCCACGCACGUUGAAAAGUGCGGGGAUGAGGUGUGGGUAGCGGAGAAAUUCCAAUCGAACCUGGAGAUAGCUGGUUCUCCCCGAAAUAGCUUUAGGGCUAGCCUUAAGUGUAAGAGUCUUGGAGGUAGAGCACUGAUUGAACUAGGGGUCCUCAUCGGAUUACCGAAUUCAGUCAAACUCCGAAUGCCAAUGACUUAUCCUUAGGAGUCAGACUGCGAGUGAUAAGAUCCGUAGUCAAGAGGGAAACAGCCCAGAUCGCCAGCUAAGGUCCCAAAGUGUGUAUUAAGUGGAAAAGGAUGUGGAGUUGCUUAGACAACUAGGAUGUUGGCUCAGAAGCAGCCACCAUUUAAAGAGUGCGUAAUAGCUCACUAGUCGAGUGACUCUGCGCCGAAAAUGUACCGGGGCUAAAUACACCACCGAAGCUGCGAAUUGAUACCAAUGGUAUCAGUGGUAGGGGAGCGUUCUAAGUGCAGUGAAGUCAGACCGGAAGGACUGGUGGAGCGCUUAGAAGUGAGAAUGCCGGUAUGAGUAGCGAAAGACGGGUGAGAAUCCCGUCCACCGAAUGCCUAAGGUUUCCUGAGGAAGGCUCGUCCGCUCAGGGUUAGUCAGGACCUAAGCCGAGGCCGACAGGCGUAGGCGAUGGACAACAGGUUGAUAUUCCUGUACCACCUCUUUAUCGUUUGAGCAAUGGAGGGACGCAGAAGGAUAGAAGAAGCGUGCGAUUGGUUGUGCACGUCCAAGCAGUUAGGCUGAUAAGUAGGCAAAUCCGCUUAUCGUGAAGGCUGAGCUGUGAUGGGGAAGCUCCUUAUGGAGCGAAGUCUUUGAUUCCCCGCUGCCAAGAAAAGCUUCUAGCGAGAUAAAAGGUGCCUGUACCGCAAACCGACACAGGUAGGCGAGGAGAGAAUCCUAAGGUGUGCGAGAGAACUCUGGUUAAGGAACUCGGCAAAAUGACCCCGUAACUUCGGGAGAAGGGGUGCUUUCUUAACGGAAAGCCGCAGUGAAUAGGCCCAAGCGACUGUUUAGCAAAAACACAGGUCUCUGCGAAGCCGUAAGGCGAAGUAUAGGGGCUGACACCUGCCCGGUGCUGGAAGGUUAAGGAGAGGGGUUAGCGUAAGCGAAGCUCUGAACUGAAGCCCCAGUAAACGGCGGCCGUAACUAUAACGGUCCUAAGGUAGCGAAAUUCCUUGUCGGGUAAGUUCCGACCCGCACGAAAGGUGUAACGAUUUGGGCACUGUCUCAACCAGAGACUCGGUGAAAUUAUAGUACCUGUGAAGAUGCAGGUUACCCGCGACAGGACGGAAAGACCCCGUGGAGCUUUACUGUAGCCUGAUAUUGAAUUUUGGUACAGUUUGUACAGGAUAGGCGGGAGCCAUUGAAACCGGAGCGCUAGCUUCGGUGGAGGCGCUGGUGGGAUACCGCCCUGACUGUAUUGAAAUUCUAACCUACGGGUCUCAUCGACCCGGGAGACAGUGUCAGGUGGGCAGUUUGACUGGGGCGGUCGCCUCCUAAAGUGUAACGGAGGCGCCCAAAGGUUCCCUCAGAAUGGUUGGAAAUCAUUCGUAGAGUGCAAAGGCAUAAGGGAGCUUGACUGCGAGACCUACAAGUCGAGCAGGGACGAAAGUCGGGCUUAGUGAUCCGGUGGUUCCGCAUGGAAGGGCCAUCGCUCAACGGAUAAAAGCUACCCCGGGGAUAACAGGCUUAUCUCCCCCAAGAGUCCACAUCGACGGGGAGGUUUGGCACCUCGAUGUCGGCUCAUCGCAUCCUGGGGCUGUAGUCGGUCCCAAGGGUUGGGCUGUUCGCCCAUUAAAGCGGUACGCGAGCUGGGUUCAGAACGUCGUGAGACAGUUCGGUCCCUAUCCGUCGUGGGCGCAGGAAAUUUGAGAGGAGCUGUCCUUAGUACGAGAGGACCGGGAUGGACGCACCGCUGGUGUACCAGUUGUUCUGCCAAGGGCAUAGCUGGGUAGCUAUGUGCGGAAGGGAUAAGUGCUGAAAGCAUCUAAGCAUGAAGCCCCCCUCAAGAUGAGAUUUCCCAUAGCGUAAGCUAGUAAGAUCCCUGAAAGAUGAUCAGGUUGAUAGGUUCGAGGUGGAAGCAUGGUGACAUGUGGAGCUGACGAAUACUAAUAGAUCGAGGACUUAACCAU